RNAcentral lists this long non-coding RNA (1598 nucleotides) under Homo sapiens (human). Its description in RNAcentral is "ARIH2 opposite strand lncRNA (ARIH2OS)". The record is from RNAcentral. Lineage: Eukaryota; Metazoa; Chordata; Mammalia; Primates; Hominidae.
CUCCACAGGCGGGCGUUAAACCGCGCGGGCAGCGCUGCGAGAGCUCCCAAAGAUGACUCGAGUGGUGAGCCCCGAGGCGGCGCGUUUCCCCGCCGCGCCAGACAGGGAGAGAGGGCCUAGAUGUGCCGGCGCCGGUUGGUCAGAGGCGGUGGCCUCUGACCUUUCCGAGAGCUGAGAAGGCGGCGGGAGGAAAAAAGGCAGACACACGCUGGGCGCCCGGCCGCUGACGGCGGGUAAUGCUCGGACAACGUGCCGGCGACGGGGAGCGCCCGGGCCUCCCGGGCGACGGCGAAGGCGGAGUCCCGGCCCGGCCAGGGAGGCGCGCGGAGAGGCCCCCCCAGCGGCCAGCCAAGGUAAACAAGGCCGUGACGUGCGCCGCGCACUUACCGGGAGCUGCGGCCUCGCGGCCGCUGAGCCCGAACAAGCCAGACCGGGUCAGGCCGGGCCAGAGGGACCGGAUUGGGGCGAAGCGGCAGCGGAGGCGGCGGGCCGACGCCGGUCAAGCCCGCGCUGCUUCCUCCAGAAGAGUCGUCCCCACAGCUCCGGAAGUGCUUGGCGCCGUUGCGUCACUUCCGGAUCGGGGUCGACCCACGGUCGCUCGGGUCGCGACAGGCUCCCGGCUAGAGGGCCUGUUUAGCGCCGCCUCCUUGAAACUUAGCGCUCUGACCCAGAGUCUGACCAGGGUACGGCAGGCGCCGACCGCGUCUGGAGCCACUAUUCGCCUACCAGCGUCUCCCGUCGAGAUGUUUUUAACCAGCGCGUUUCUCACCGGCUUCUCAUUUCACUGUUUGUACUCCGGGAUCGGGCACGGAGAAGACAUCCUGGCGUCAGUGGAGCAGAUAACCAUUGUUUCUCGGCCGCUAUCUGGUCAGAGGGGAGCUGGGCCGGGAAAUUCUGCCUACACCCCGAGGCGGUCGCAGGGUGGCCCCAGAGCCGCAACCACACCAGGCUUUCGCUUCCCCUGCCGAGGCCUCGUUCGCCGCGCAGUUCUCCGACUUACGGUCACCGUGCAAGAUUGCAUCUUAACUGCCUUGCUUGCAGUUUCUUUUCACAGUAUAGGAGUUGUCAUCAUGACUUCCAGUUACCUUCUGGGACCGGUUGUCAAAUGAUGUGGCUAGAGACGGAGGCUCACUCAGAUUGUUGCUGCACCACAAUGGAAAUGCCAGUAUGAAGCCGCUGAUGUUAGGAAGGCUCCAGGUUGUGCAAUUCCAUAGACAACAAAUCAAAUCAUUUCCAACCAUACUGGAGUCGCGUAUAUACAUAUUCAAGACACCUGUGCAGGCCGGGCGCGGUGGCUCAAGCCUGUAAUCCCAGCACUUUGGGAGGCCGAGGCGAGUGGAUCACGAGGUCAGGAGAUCGAGACCAUCCUGGCUAACACGGUGAAACCCCGUCUGUACUAAAAGUACAAAAAAAUUAGCCGGACGUGGUGGCGGGCGCCUGUAGUCCCAGCUACUCGGGAGGCUGAGGCAGGAGAAUGGCGUGAACCCGGGAGGCGGAGCUUGCAGUGAGUCGAGAUGGCGCCACUGCACUCCAGCCUGGGCGACAGAGCGAGACUCUGUCUCAAAAUAAAAUAAAAUAAAAUAAAAAAUAAAACAAAU